RNAcentral lists this long non-coding RNA (2316 nucleotides) under Vigna radiata. Its description in RNAcentral is "long non-coding RNA (VRAD_LNC003979)". The record is from RNAcentral. Lineage: Eukaryota; Viridiplantae; Streptophyta; Magnoliopsida; Fabales; Fabaceae.
GAUGUUGAAGAUGGUGUCUGAUAGAAAAUGAAAGAAAGAAGAAAAAGCAAAGAAUGAUGAAAGCAUAAAAGAGAUUUUAUAUAUGAAGUGAGAGUACAAAAGCAUCAUAGACAUUCUGGUUACAGAUUCAUGGAAAGAGAGAGAGAAGAUGAUUAUUGAUGGAGGCACUACAAAGAUGAAAGUCUUUUAUUUAGGAGAUAGAUAAUAUGCUACGUUGCAUGGUUUAGAAGUGACCAUUUUCUUCAACGGGUGGGUGCUUACCAUAAGGGGGCUUAUGGUAUGGCUUUGGUUUGGGUUUAGGCUCGUAAAUUGGUGGUCUUGGCUUGUGGAUGGGUGGCUUAUACUUACGGGGUGGUUUGUAGAAGCUGUCAGACUCAGAUUCAGCAGCAAGCCCUUGAGGGGUCAGAAUCAGAGCCAAAAGGAACAACACAACCAAAGUUAAGAGAGAAUUAGCCAUCUUCAUUCUGUUAUUGCUUCUGCAUCUUACUCACUCAUUCAUCUCCUUUUAUAGUCAGCCUUCACGCACGUCUCAAUCCAAUUCAUUUAUCGUUCCCUCUGUCACUGUAUCAAAUGUCAAACAUUUGGUGUGCAUUUUUCUAUGCCCACUGGUCCCAUUUUGUAUCUCUCCCACUUAAUAAUACCCUCUGUGUUUAUCUCUCCCACUUACUUUUUCUUUAUUAUCAUACCAUUCUCCAAACUUUAUCGUUAAUUCUCAUCUGAAUUCGACCACUGUCGGAUACAACAAAACAAAAACACUUUCUACUACUCAUCUAGUAUACUCUCUAAUAAUUACAGAACCAUCUCGGAUCCGGUUCCCGGAUUGUUGCCGACAACACUAUUCGGCCCUAUGACACAUUUAAUUUAUUGAAUUCGUGACAAAAAUUAUCUCUGUAAUAAAAUUUAAUAUAAAUUUUUUAAUAACGUGUAUAAAUAAAUAGGAAAUGUUUUUUAAUAAUUUUUUUACAAUAUUAUUUGUGAUUGAUUUAUUUUAAAUAUUUUUUUUUAAAAUAAAUUUAUAUAGAUCAAUAAAACAAUAAAAUGUGACUGUUGUCAAAAAAAUUAUUAUGGAAAAGUUGUUAAUAGUCUAAAUAAAUAAUACAAAUGACAUAUUAUUAUUUGUUUGGACCAAUUUUUGUGAUUGUGACUUUUGUUUUAAUAGUAAAAUUAUUUUUUUGGUUUAUUCUUAAUUGAUCAAUCCAUUUUAUUUUGAAUAGGAAUAAUAGUUAACCUUCGUGAUUGUUUACAACACAUUUUAUUACAUACUGAUACAGUUGUUAUCAUGUGAUAUUGAUUCACACGGAUGAAUAUUUAUAUGAAGACGAUUAUUUGAUAAUGUAUUUUUAUUCUAAUUAUUUUAAUUUAAUUAUUUUUUAUUUUUCUGAAGUUCUAACUCAUAUCAUUAUAACUUUUUCUUAUUUUAUUAUCUUUGUCCUGUAUUCAAUUAAUUAAAUAAAAACAAAAAACAAAUAUCAUUAAACAUAAUAAAAUAAAAAUAAAUAAAAAAUCACUUUACUUAAAACAAAAUUAAAACUAUUUGGGUCCAAAAAAAAUAUUUUGAAUUGAAAUUUUCAUAAACAUGAUGACUUCACUUAAAAAAAAUGUUGAAAUUGUAGCAUUUCAUAAGACUUCAACUAUAAGAAAACCUUCAUAAGUAUAAUAACUUCACUUUAAGAAACUAAAAAAAAGAAUAGAAGUCGUUAUAGUCGUACCAUCUAAUAUGACUUUAACCCAUAUGUACGACUUAUCUUAUUGUGUAAAAUUUUAAAAAUCUAACUUCUUUACAUAAAUACAAAAGUUGAUUAAUUCCUUUUGGUUAAUUAACCUGUUUACAAAUACUUCACUACAAUAUUGGUAUGUUGAUAUCAAAUUCAGUCAUGGAAUAGUUUAAAUAGAGACGUAGUUUAAAUAGUUUUUUUUUCUACUAUAAUUUAUCCAUAUAUUGUAUAAAGACAUGACAAUUAUUGAGAAAAUGAAAAAGUUCAUUGUCUAAGAAAGAUAAAGAAAAUGAGCUAUAUGAUUAAGAUAUUAUAAAGGAUGGAUAAUAUUUUAUGUAAUAUUUAUUACUACACAAAAAAAAAAAAACAUUAGAAUUAAUGAAUGGCUAUAGUUGAAAGAAAUAAAAGAAAGUAGUAAUAGUAGUGGAGGAAGAAAAAGAACAUAAAAAUCCAUUAUAAUGGCUAGUUUUAUUAGUGUCUCCUGUAUAAGAAAUGAAAAAGUGGAUCUAAAACAAGAGAGAUAAGACACAACACUUUGAUAAAGCGACAAGAAGCCUAUCUUGUUUAAAUCUCAUUUUGUUCUCCAAACAUCUUAUUUGUU